RNAcentral lists this ribosomal RNA (557 nucleotides) under uncultured bacterium. RNAcentral describes it as "partial 16S ribosomal RNA". It matches the Rfam family "Bacterial small subunit ribosomal RNA", at positions 355 to 900 of the family's 1533-position model. The record is from RNAcentral.
UAGGGAAUCUUCCACAAUGGACGCAAGUCUGAUGGAGCAACGCCGCGUGAGUGAAGAAGGUUUUCGGACCGUAAAGCUCUGUUGUUGGUGAAGAAGGAUAGAGGUAGUAACUGGCCUUUAUUUGACGGUAAUCAACCAGAAAGUCACGGCUAACUACGUGCCAGCAGCCGCGGUAAUACGUAGGUGGCAAGCGUUGUCCGGAUUUAUUGGGCGUAAAGCGAGCGCAGGCGGAAGAAUAAGUCUGAUGUGAAAGCCCUCGGCUUAACCGAGGAAUUGCAUCGGAAACUGUUUUUCUUGAGUGCAGAAGAGGAGAGUAGAACUCCAUGUGUAGCGGUGGAAUGCGUAGAUAUAUGGAAGAAUACCAGUGGCGAAGGCGGCUCUCUGGUCUGCAACUGACGCUGAGGCUCGAAAGCAUGGGUAGCGAACAGGAUUAGAUACCCUGGUAGUCCAUGCCGUAAAACGAUGAGUGCUAAGUGUUGGGAGGCUUCCGCCUCUCAGUGCUGCAGCUAACGCAUUAAGCACUCCGCCUGGGGGAGUACGACCGCAAAGGUUGAAAC